GCCUACUUGGAUAGCAUGAGAACUCCAUCUUUUGGGCAUCAUUUUCGUGGUAAUGACAGAGGUUGUACUGGUACAUUUAUUGAUCUCCUCGUCUAGUGAUUCAGAUGCUUGGGGCCUUUGUGUUUUUUUACUUCAUUGUCCAUUUCAGCACAGAAGCAAACAUUGCAAGGAGUUCUGUGAACUUAUGAUUCGUAUGAUAACUUAAGACUCCAUCUGCUCAACUCUACAGACGUACAGUACAGAGAGCUUCACUGGCCUUGCACGCUGCUGAGAGUGAAUGGGAAUUCAACAAAGGCA
This is a long non-coding RNA of Sinocyclocheilus anshuiensis, 297 nucleotides long. RefSeq lists it as uncharacterized. The transcript has 3 exons. NCBI's taxonomy places the organism in Eukaryota, Metazoa, Chordata, Actinopteri, Cypriniformes, Cyprinidae. The record is from RefSeq and is a predicted model, not a curated record.